This 115-nucleotide ribosomal RNA is filed under the name Danio rerio (zebrafish). The record is from RNAcentral. Lineage: Eukaryota; Metazoa; Chordata; Actinopteri; Cypriniformes; Danionidae.
GCCGGCAGCUAGCUCUCUGCAACUCUCACAUGGUCGCCCACUGAAGCUAAGCAGGACUGAGCCCGGUCAGUACCUGGAUGGGAGACCACAUGGAGAAUCUAGGUUGCUGCUGGAA